This 497-nucleotide ribosomal RNA is filed under the name uncultured bacterium. RNAcentral describes it as "partial 16S ribosomal RNA". It matches the Rfam family "Bacterial small subunit ribosomal RNA", at positions 28 to 507 of the family's 1533-position model. The record is from RNAcentral.
GAUGAACGCUGGCGGCGUGCCUAAUACAUGCCAGUCGAGCGAACAGAUGAGGAGCUUGCUCCUCUGACGUUAGCGGCGGACGGGUGAGUAACACGUGGAUAACCUACCUAUAAGACUGGGAUAACUUCGGGAAACCGGAGCUAAUACCGGAUAAUAUAUUGAACCGCAUGGUUCAAUAGUGAAAGACGGUUUUGCUGUCACUUAUAGAUGGAUCCGCGCCGCAUUAGCUAGUUGGUAAGGUAACGGCUUACCAAGGCAACGAUGCGUAGCCGACCUGAGAGGGUGAUCGGCCACACUGGAACUGAGACACGGUCCAGACUCCUACGGGAGGCAGCAGUAGGGAAUCUUCCGCAAUGGGCGGAAGCCUGACGGAGCAACGCCGCGUGAGUGAUGAAGGUCUUCGGAUCGUAAAACUCUGUUAUUAGGGAAGAACAAAUGUGUAAGUAACUAUGCACGUCUUGACGGUACCUAAUCAGAAAGCCACGGCUAACUACGUG